ACGCUCGACACCUACGGGAGGCAGCAGUUAGGAAUAUUGGGCAAUGGAGGAAACUCUGAUCCAGCAACGCCGCGUGAAGGAAGAAGGUUUUCGGAUUGUAAACUUCUGAUCUGGUGGGAAAAAGAAAGUGAUGGUACCACAGGAGCAAGACACGGCCAACUACGUGUCAGCAGCCGCGGUAAUCUGAGCGGGCUGGCAAGGC
RNAcentral lists this ribosomal RNA (202 nucleotides) under uncultured bacterium. RNAcentral's name for it is "partial 16S ribosomal RNA". It matches the Rfam family "Bacterial small subunit ribosomal RNA", at positions 328 to 539 of the family's 1533-position model. The record is from RNAcentral.